Molecule: ribosomal RNA, 460 nt
Filed under: uncultured bacterium
Lineage: Bacteria
Description: partial 16S ribosomal RNA
Rfam family: Bacterial small subunit ribosomal RNA
Source: RNAcentral
CCUACGGGAGACAGCAGUGAGGAAUAUUGGUCAAUGGGCGCGAGCCUGAACCAGCCAAGUCGCGUGAGGGAUGAAGGUUCUAUGGAUCGUAAACCUCUUUUAUAAGGGAAUAAAGUGUGGGACGUGUCCUAUUUUGUAUGUACCUUAUGAAUAAGGAUCGGCUAACUCCGUGCCAGCAGCUGCGGUAAUACGGAGGAUCCGAGCGUUAUCCGGAUUUAUUGGGUUUAAAGGGUGCGUAGGCGGCCUUUUAAGUCAGCGGUGAAAGUCUGUGGCUCAACCAUAGAAUUGCCGUUGAAACUGGGGGGCUUGAGUAUGUUUGAGGCAGGCGGAAGGCGUGGUGUAGCGGUGAAAUGCUUAGAUAUCACGCAGAACCCCGAUUGCGAAGGCAGCCUGCCAAGCCAUGACUGACGUUGAGGCCCGAAAGCGUGGGGAGCAAACAGGAUUAGAUACCCUUGUAGUC